AUUUGAGUCAUGUCUUUUGAAUAUUUUCUUGAAAAAAUUGUCAGAAUUGAUAUAAAUUGAAAUCAGAAGAGAAGUAGACCAAGUUUUUUCUUCUUACUAUGAGUAAGAUAGAAAUCAUUGGCUGUAAUAUUUAUUUUAUUCAUUAUAUAUUUCUUUAUUGCAUGGGAUAUGACAGAGUACAUAUAUUUAACAAGUUAAGAGCAGUGAUCAUAAACUGUCAAGUUCUUCUGCCUAUAAGAAAUACAAGGAAUCCACAAAGCACUUUGAGCAGAAAAAAAUACGCAAUUUAUUGUUGUUUGUUCAAUGCAUAUAUAAAUA
Molecule: long non-coding RNA, 318 nt
Filed under: Androctonus crassicauda
Lineage: Eukaryota; Metazoa; Arthropoda; Arachnida; Scorpiones; Buthidae
Source: RNAcentral